Molecule: ribosomal RNA, 272 nt
Filed under: uncultured bacterium
Lineage: Bacteria
Description: partial 16S ribosomal RNA
Rfam family: Bacterial small subunit ribosomal RNA
Source: RNAcentral
CUUCCGCCGGCGACCGGCGCACGGGUGAGUAACACGUAUGCAACCUGCCCCUGUCAGGGGGACAACCGCCGAAAGGCGGGCUAAACCCGCGUACAUGCCACCGGGGCAUCCCGGAGGCAGGAGAGGCUUCGGCCGGACAGGGAUGGGCAUGCGGCGCAUUAGGCAGUAGGCGGGGUAACGGCCCACCUAACCGACGAUGCGUAGGGGUUCUGAGAGGAAGGUCCCCCACACUGGUACUGAGACACGGACCAGACUCCUACGGAAGGCAGCAG